Molecule: long non-coding RNA, 3143 nt
Organism: Haplochromis burtoni (Burton's mouthbrooder)
Lineage: Eukaryota; Metazoa; Chordata; Actinopteri; Cichliformes; Cichlidae
Exons: 2
Source: RefSeq, a predicted model, not a curated record
CCAUGCAAACUGGAGUUGUUUCAUGGAUUUGUCAACAAUGGGACAUCAGCAGUGCUGCUUUCCGCUUAUUUUUGUGUUCGUCCGUCAUAGACCAUUUAACGGUGGCAGAGGGAGGAGGAAGAGGAGGAGGGGGAGAAAAUUGGCUCGCGUGAUUGAAAGAUCUGACGCGCAAUAAUGUGACCGCGUUAAAAAACAAACCAAAGCUUUAACUUUGCUAACGCGAACUCUGCUGACAGCUGCAGAAUGAAAACGACAACAGCUAAGUUAACGGAAUCUUCCUUCAAGUUCAUGAAUGUAUUGACUUCUAUAUAUAUAUUUAUAGAAACUGUUUAAUUGUGCAUGCGUAGUUUAUUUUUAAUCCCCACAGUUUAUUUUAGCGUAGAGUCCGUGCAUGUAACUCUCCUUGAAAGGAUACGUUAGACAUGUUUUUUAUUAUUGAUAUUUUUGCUUGCUCUGUUCAUUCGGUGCUGGAAUUGCAUGCCUCGGUGCUCCGAGCUUUAAAGCCCGGUCGCGUAAAUCCAAGCAGCGAAUGCAAAGCAUGAAUUCCAGUCUAUUUAUUCCCGCAGGAUUUAGCCGAGGUGGGAAGAAUAUUGAAGAAGCGGCAGCAGCGACGAUGAAUGGGACGAAUGCAGAAUUUCCUUCAGAGUUUGGAAGAGCGAGCAAAAGAGCAGCCCCAUUCAGUUUGGCUCCCCCCAACACACUGCAGCGAUGUGCCUCCGCCUAGCUCUGAAAGGGAUCUGCUUGUGCCUGCAUGGCUCGUCCACCCUGCCCAAAAGUUGGAUAAUUUAUGGGCCUGAGGGAGAUUAUAAAGAUGGAUCUUUGAGGCAAUCAAUUCUCAUGUUGCGUUUUGAAUGGUGGGAUAGAAAUGAAGUGCAGAAUAAUUAAAAAGAUCACAAGUCCCCCUUCGCAUGUAAUAAUGAGUAGCUCCAGAGGCAGUGGGCUCUGCCACAGUGCCGGAGGAAGCGCCUUUGAUUUGACUAAGAGGACACCCGGCCUGGUCCAACACUCUGCUGCACAAAAGGGGGGAUUUCACCCACCGCCACACACUGAGCCAGCCUUGAGGACUGUGUGCUUGUCCACCAGCGAGAUCAUAAGCAGAUACUGUUGUCACAGGAAGUGGCGGGGGGGGGGGAUUGUUGCUUGGAUGUCAGAGUUGGCAUGAAAAGUGAUGGAGGCGGCUGUUUGGAAUAUGUUUCACAAUGCUCAGUGUUAUGGGAUUUUAAAAUAAAAUCCAUGCGCCCUUUGCAUAUGAAUUCGUGUCAAAAUGUACCAUCAGCCCUCUGCAUGCACAACUGUGAGUUGUUGUGUCCUGAUGUAGUCAAAUACAGCCUUUUUUAUACUUCUGAAUGCAUUAGGCCAAAUGUGAGACUUGUGUUUGUUGGUUGGCUUUUGGAAAAUAACAAGUUUCUGAGGAAAUGUCUCGGUCCAGUCAGGCUUUGUUGCAUGAGUACACUCAAAGAUUGAUAGAGGCUCAAUUUUUACACGCACACACCACAGCUUCUCAAUAUGAUCACAAAAUAAGGCAUAAAGGACACUGUUAUGAGCUUGGGAGGGUAUCUUAGAAACAGAUGUCUGCGUGUGUGGCUGCUUUUCUCUGCUGUAUAGGGGGAAAUGUAAUGACACCUGGCAGCAGGCUCACACUGAAUAUCAUUUUUCUGGUCACUUGGUCAACUCAAUGUUGGCGAACUGCACACACUUUGAGAGUAGAACACAGCUGCAGGCAGCAGUUAGAGUAGAUUUUCCUUGUAAAAAGGUGUUAACAUGUGUUAAGUGAUAACCUUGCAUAGUUCUUUUAUGUAGUCGAGAUCAAGUGUACGUGCAGGACUCGUGAUUCAUCCUCCUGAUGGUUCUGAAAAAUGCAUUUUUGGUGUGGAGUUUUCUAAUGCACUGAACAAAUAGAAUACCAGUGUGGCAAAUCUCAACGAAUGAGCUAGGGCAUGAUGAUAAAUUUGCAAUGUUAAUAUCUGGAAGCAUUGGGGAUGAUUGAGUGUUGCUGGGCAGCUACAGUUGUUUACUUAAAAAGAUCAAUGGACACAGUUUUUGUUCUUGAGCCAAUAUAAAAAGUGACAGAAUGUAACAGAAAAUGUGAAAAAUUCCGACAACGUUCAGGAGAUGUGGGUCAAAACUGCUUUUUUUUUUUUACAUUUCUUUUUGACACAUUGAGAGUCCAGAUUCAAGAUUUUAAACCUUUUGAUCAGUACUUGUGUAGUAUUGGUGGUAUUACCAUAUUGAUAAAUGAUGUACGUAGCUUCAAAAUCAUGUGUUUGAGUGUUUGUGCAAUUUGUGCAUGUAACAGGGCGGCCCUUAGCGGCUGGAAACACAGUGAGAUGGACCAAGGCAAUUGUAGUGGAACAAAGUAAUUAUUUGCUAUACAGCUCGCCUUACAACAAUUCAUUUGUCGAGCUUCUUCACAGCACAAAAGUCCACCUCUAAUGACAACUGGCAGCCUUAAAUAUGUUCAGCUGUCACAGACUUAACCAUUAUUCCACUCUCAGGUAAAUUCUUAAAUCCCAACCUUCCACCACAGUAUACAAUAUAUCAAUAAGAAUAAAUAAAUAAAUAAAUACAUUUUCACAUUUACAUAUUAAUAAAUAUUUCACACUUUAAUGUUACACCAAACCCAAUAUUAUAAAAACCCAGAAACCCAAGCACAAAAAGAUUCACCACACUCUCUUUACCAAUGGUCUCUCCCGGAACCUUUAAAUGGUGUCUGGACCCCCCAGGAAACAUUUGCCCAAACACCUUGAAGAGGACACAGGCAAAAAAGGUGAGUAAUCAUUAUCUUACAAACACUUAUUUGCACCACUUUCAUCCCUAGAUUUCACACACACAUUUGCAUUAGUUUUCCUUACUGGUAAACCUUAAUCACAAUCUCAAUCACCAUUCUUCUCUCCUGACAGACAACCACCACAUUCCUUGAUGAGGAGCAGCUGUGCAGGAUCUGAAAUAAGGCUACCAACUGAUUUUAAAAUUCCCAAUAAAUGGUCAAUAAAUAUUUAAACUUGUGUGCAAAUCCAUGCUUAAAGUGCAAUGCUAAAUAAAGUGCUUGAUAAGGUGCUUUUAACAAAGUGAAAGGUGUGCUCUAAAGUGCUAUACAGAUAAUAUAAAUAAAUGCAGUAAGGGAGUCCUCUUCCUUACAGUGA